This 476-nucleotide ribosomal RNA is filed under the name uncultured bacterium. RNAcentral describes it as "bacterial SSU rRNA". It matches the Rfam family "Bacterial small subunit ribosomal RNA", at positions 28 to 486 of the family's 1533-position model. The record is from RNAcentral.
GAUGAACGCUGGCGGCGUGCCUAAUACAUGCAAGUAGAACGCUGAAGGAAGGAGCUUGCUCUUUCCGGAUGAGUUGCGAACGGGUGAGUAACGCGUAGGUAACCUGCCUGGUAGCGGGGGAUAACUAUUGGAAACGAUAGCUAAUACCGCAUAACAGUAGAUGUUGCAUGACAUUUACUUGAAAGGUGCAAUUGCAUCACUACCAGAUGGACCUGCGUUGUAUUAGCUAGUUGGUGAGGUAACGGCUCACCAAGGCGACGAUACAUAGCCGACCUGAGAGGGUGAUCGGCCACACUGGGACUGAGACACGGCCCAGACUCCUACGGGAGGCAGCAGUAGGGAAUCUUCGGCAAUGGACGGAAGUCUGACCGAGCAACGCCGCGUGAGUGAAGAAGGUUUUCGGAUCGUAAAGCUCUGUUGUAAGAGAAGAACGAGUGUGAGAGUGGAAAGUUCACACUGUGACGGUAUCUUACCAG